GGUCCCUAUCUGCCGUGGGUGUAGGAGAAUUGAGAGGAUCUGUCCCUAGUACGAGAGGACCGGGAUGGACGUACCUCUGGUGGACCUGUUGUGGCGCCAGCCGCAUUGCAGGGUAGCUAUGUACGGAAGGGAUAACCGCUGAAAGCAUCUAAGCGGGAAACCCACCUCAAAACCAGUUCUCCCUGAAGAGCCGUGGAAGACCACCACGUCGAUAGGAAGCGUGUGGAAGUGCGGCAACGCAUGAAGCUUAGCUUUACUAAUAGCUCGUUCGGCUUGAUCCUCUCAUU
RNAcentral lists this ribosomal RNA (287 nucleotides) under Salifodinibacter halophilus. RNAcentral's name for it is "partial 23S ribosomal RNA". It matches the Rfam family "Bacterial large subunit ribosomal RNA", at positions 2633 to 2925 of the family's 2925-position model. The record is from RNAcentral. Lineage: Bacteria; Pseudomonadati; Pseudomonadota; Gammaproteobacteria; Salinisphaerales; Salinisphaeraceae.